Molecule: ribosomal RNA, 492 nt
Filed under: uncultured bacterium
Lineage: Bacteria
Description: partial 16S ribosomal RNA
Rfam family: Bacterial small subunit ribosomal RNA
Source: RNAcentral
AGUGAACGCUGGCGGUAGGCCUAACACAUGCAAGUCGAACGGCAGCACAGUAAGAGCUUGCUCUUACGGGUGGCGAGUGGCGGACGGGUGAGGAAUACAUCGGAAUCUACUUUUUCGUGGGGGAUAACGUAGGGAAACUUACGCUAAUACCGCAUACGACCUACGGGUGAAAGCAGGGGAUCUUCGGACCUUGCGCGAUUGAAUGAGCCGAUGUCGGAUUAGCUAGUUGGCGGGGUAAAGGCCCACCAAGGCGACGAUCCGUAGCUGGUCUGAGAGGAUGGUCCGCCACACUAGAACUGAGUCACGGUCCAGCCUCCUACGGGAGGCAGCAUUGGGGAAUAUUGGACAAUGGGCGCAAGCCUGAUCCAGCCAUACCGCGUGGGUGAAGAAGGCCUUCGGGUUGUAAAGCCCUUUUGUUGGGAAAGAAAAGCAGCAGGUUAAUACCCCGCUGUUCUGACGGUACCCAAAGAAUAAGCACCGGCUAACUUCGUG